This 459-nucleotide ribosomal RNA is filed under the name uncultured bacterium. RNAcentral describes it as "bacterial SSU rRNA". It matches the Rfam family "Bacterial small subunit ribosomal RNA", at positions 40 to 507 of the family's 1533-position model. The record is from RNAcentral.
CGGCAGGCCUAACACAUGCAAGUCGAGCGGGGUUUCGGACCUAGCGGCGGACGGGUGAGUAAUGCGUAGGAAGCUACCCGACAGAGGGGGAUACCAGUUGGAAACGACUGUUAAUACCGCAUAAUGUCUACGGACCAAAGUGUGGGACCUUCGGGCCACAUGCUGUCGGAUGCGCCUACGUGGGAUUAGCUAGUUGGUGAGGUAAUGGCUCACCAAGGCGACGAUCCCUAGCUGGUUUGAGAGGAUGAUCAGUCACACUGGAACUGAGACACGGUCCAGACUCCUACGGGAGGCAGCAGUGGGGAAUAUUGGACAAUGGGCGCAAGCCUGAUCCAGCCAUGCCGCGUGUGUGAAGAAGGCCUUAGGGUUGUAAAGCACUUUCAGUGGGGAGAAAGGUCAUUCACCUAAUACGUGAGUGAAUUGAUGUUACCCACAGAAGAAGCACCGGCUAACUCCGUG